GGGAACGUUAAGGGCGUCGAGCGGCGGACGGGUGAGUAAUGCCUAGGAAAUUGCCCUGAUGUGGGGGAUAACCAUUGGAAACGAUGGCUAAUACCGCAUAAUGCCUACGGGCCAAAGAGGGGGACCUUCGGGCCUCUCGCGUCAGGAUAUGCCUAGGUGGGAUUAGCUAGUUGGUGAGGUAAUGGCUCACCAAGGCGACGAUCCCUAGCUGGUCUGAGAGGAUGAUCAGCCACACUGGAACUGAGACACGGUCCAGACUCCUACGGGAGGCAGCAGUGGGGAAUAUUGCACAAUGGGCGCAAGCCUGAUGCAGCCAUGCCGCGUGUGUGAAGAAGGCCUUCGGGUUGUAAAGCACUUUCAGUCGUGAGGAAGGUGGUAGUGUUAAUAGCACUAUCAUUUGACGUUAGCGACAGAAGAAGCACCGGCUAACUCCGUGCCAGCAGCCGCGGUAAUACGGAGGGUGCGAGCGUUAAUCGGAAUUACUGGGCGUAAAGCGCAUGCAGGUGGUUUGUUAAGUCAGAUGUGAAAGCCCGGGGCUCAACCUCGGAAUAGCAUUUGAAACUGGCAGACUAGAGUACUGUAGAGGGGGGUAGAAUUUCAGGUGUAGCGGUGAAAUGCGUAGAGAUCUGAAGGAAUACCGGUGGCGAAGGCGGCCCCCUGGACAGAUACUGACACUCAGAUGCGAAAGCGUGGGGAGCAAACAGGAUUAGAUACCCUGGUAGUCCACGCCGUAAACGAUGUCUACUUGGAGGUUGUGGCCUUGAGCCGUGGCUUUCGGAGCUAACGCGUUAAGUAGACCGCCUGGGGAGUACGGUCGCAAGAUUAAAACUCAAAUGAAUUGACGGGGGCCCGCACAAGCGGUGGGAGCAUGUGGUUUAAUUCGAUGCAACGCGAAGAAACCUUACCUACUCUUGACAUCCAGAGAACUUUCCAGAGAUGGAUUGGUGCCUUCGGGAACUCUGAAACAGGUGCUGCAUGGCUGUCGUCAGCUCGUG
This 995-nucleotide ribosomal RNA is filed under the name Vibrio jasicida. RNAcentral describes it as "bacterial SSU rRNA". It matches the Rfam family "Bacterial small subunit ribosomal RNA", at positions 78 to 1064 of the family's 1533-position model. The record is from RNAcentral. Lineage: Bacteria; Pseudomonadati; Pseudomonadota; Gammaproteobacteria; Vibrionales; Vibrionaceae.